This is a long non-coding RNA of Phacochoerus africanus (Common warthog), 892 nucleotides long. RefSeq lists it as uncharacterized. The transcript is spliced from 3 exons. NCBI's taxonomy places the organism in Eukaryota, Metazoa, Chordata, Mammalia, Artiodactyla, Suidae. The record is from RefSeq and is a predicted model, not a curated record.
CACGGACUGUGAACAAGGGCCAGAGCCCAACAUGGGGGCGGGGGGGGGAGCAGCUCCCAGGAGGCAAGCGUGUGACUUGAGGCAGAGCCCACAGACUAGAGAGGGCUCUACCGUCCGAGGGGCCCUGCCCGGGGACAAUCCAAGAAGCAUCCUGGAGGAAGCUGACAUCUCCGCGGCUUCUGCGUGUAGCUGGAGCCUGUGCUCAGUGCUUCAGCCCCGCCAGAGACGGCGCAGUGCGAGGUCCUUAGGUAGCCCUGGGGUGGGCGGGUGUGUAAGGCCCGCACAGGGUCUGUGAGCGUGGCGUGGGCAAAAGCAGGCGAGAGAUGAGUACACAUUGCCGCUGACUCCUCCCACAGCACCUUCCUGUCAAAUCCUGCUCAUCCUGAGCCAUGAUUCCCAUGGAAACCAGACCGGGAAGGAAGAGGAGCAAAAGGAGAGGCAGAUCCCAGCUUUCUCAACGGCUCCACCAACCUUUCCAGCUUUGGACAGAGGUGGGAAAAAGAGCUCUUGGCUCUCAGCCUGUCCCAGGCUACCACAGGCAGAUGAGAAGACAGAGGUGCCUGAAAGGGACUUGCCCUAUAACACCACCGGCCAGCAGGUGCCAGAACCAGGACUUGAACCCAGGUCUCCUGGGGCCAGUGCACGUUGGAGGGCCUGGUGGAGGCCCCUCUGUUGGAGUGGAGGCAGCUGCUCCAGGACCUGAACAGGCGACCCAGACCUGUUCCCAGAAGGAAGGUGGGAGGGUCCUGCUCUGGCCACCACUCCUCCAACACAGCUGUCCCCCUCCACGUGUCAGAAGGAUGACAUGGCUUGGCUAGACCCUGUCACCUGUCAGAUACUAAUCUCUCUCUCAGGGAUAAUUGUUCCUGCAAUUAUUAAAUUAUUAACAGUG